RNAcentral lists this ribosomal RNA (468 nucleotides) under uncultured bacterium. Its description in RNAcentral is "partial 16S ribosomal RNA". It matches the Rfam family "Bacterial small subunit ribosomal RNA", at positions 28 to 507 of the family's 1533-position model. The record is from RNAcentral.
GACGAACGCUGGCGGCGUGCUUAACACAUGCAAGUCGAACGGAAAGGCCCUGCUUUUGUGGGGUGCUCGAGUGGCGAACGGGUGAGUAACACGUGGGUAACCUGCCCUUGACUUUGGGAUAACUUCAGGAAACUGGGGCUAAUACCGGAUAGGAGCUCCUGCUGCAUGGUGUGGGUUGGAAAGUUUCGGCGGUUGGGGAUGGACUCGCGGCUUAUCAGCUUGUUGGUGGGGUAGUGGCUUACCAAGGCUUUGACGGGUAGCCGGCCUGAGAGGGUGACAGGCCACAUUGGGCCUGAGAUACGGCCCAGACUCCUACGGGAGGCAGCAGUGGGGAAUAUUGCAAAAUGGGCGGAAGCCUGAUGCAGCAACGCCGCGUGCGGGAGGACGGCCUUCGGGGUGUAAACCGCUUUCGCCUGUGACGAAGCGUGAGUGACGGUAAUGGGUAAAGAAGCACCGGCUAACUACGUG